RNAcentral lists this ribosomal RNA (562 nucleotides) under uncultured bacterium. RNAcentral describes it as "bacterial SSU rRNA". It matches the Rfam family "Bacterial small subunit ribosomal RNA", at positions 338 to 916 of the family's 1533-position model. The record is from RNAcentral.
CCUACGGGAGGCAGCAGUGGGGAAUAUUGGACAAUGGGCGCAAGCCUGAUCCAGCAAUGCCGCGUGAGUGAUGAAGGCCUUAGGGUCGUAAAGCUCUUUUACCAGGGAUGAUAAUGACAGUACCUGGAGAAUAAGCUCCGGCUAACUCCGUGCCAGCAGCCGCGGUAAUACGGAGGGAGCUAGCGUUGUUCGGAAUUACUGGGCGUAAAGCGUACGUAGGCGGUUAUUCAAGUCAGAGGUGAAAGCCCGGGGCUCAACCCCGGAACGGCCUUUGAAACUAGGUAGCUAGAAUCUUGGAGAGGUCAGUGGAAUUCCGAGUGUAGAGGUGAAAUUCGUAGAUAUUCGGAAGAACACCAGUGGCGAAGGCGACUGACUGGACAAGUAUUGACGCUGAGGUACGAAAGCGUGGGGAGCAAACAGGAUUAGAUACCCUGGUAGUCCACGCCGUAAACGAUGAUAACUAGCUGUUCGGGCACUUGGUGCUUGAGUGGCGCAGCUAACGCAUUAAGUUAUCCGCCUGGGGGAGUACGGUCGCAAGAUUAAAACUCAAAGGAAUUGACGG